AUGAUUCGUGGGACGUCCUGCCGGUGGUGGCGAGUCGAAGGCGUGCUCCCGUUGUGGUUCCCACUUCGGUUCUUGCGCGCCCGAGGCGGACCCCGAUGAAAUCCUACCGCGGUGCUCUUCGCCGAGUGUCGAGGUGGGCCGGCACGUUUACUUUGAACAAAUUAGAGUGCUUAAAGCAGGCCUGUUGCGCCUGAAUACUGUGUGCAUGGAAUAAUGGAAUAGGACCUCGGUUCUAUUUUGUUGGUUUUCGGAACCCGAGGUAAUGAUUAAUAGGGACAGGCGGGGGCAUUCGUAUUGCGACGUUAGAGGUGAAAUUCUUGGAUCGUCGCAAGACGGACCGAAGCGAAAGCAUUUGCCAAGUAUGUUUUCAUUAAUCAAGAACGAAAGUUAGAGGUUCGAAGGCGAUCAGAUACCGCCCUAGUUCUAACCAUAAACGAUGCCAGCUAGCGAUCCGCCGAAGUUCCUCCGAUGACUCGGCGGGCAGCUCCCGGGAAACCAAAGCUUUUGGGUUCCGGGGGAAGUAUGGUUGCAAAGCUGAAACUUAAAGGAAUUGACGGAAGG
Molecule: ribosomal RNA, 561 nt
Filed under: Isophya modestior
Lineage: Eukaryota; Metazoa; Arthropoda; Insecta; Orthoptera; Tettigoniidae
Description: SSU rRNA
Rfam family: Eukaryotic small subunit ribosomal RNA
Source: RNAcentral